UGGGGAAUAUUGGACAAUGGGGGCAACCCUGAUCCAGCAAUGCCGCGUGUGUGAAGAAGGUCUUCGGAUUGUAAAGCACUUUCGACGGGGACGAUGAUGACGGUACCCGUAGAAGAAGCCCCGGCUAACUUCGUGCCAGCAGCCGCGGUAAUACGAAGGGGGCUAGCGUUGCUCGGAAUGACUGGGCGUAAAGGGCGUGUAGGCGGUUUACACAGUCAGAUGUGAAAUCCCCGGGCUUAACCUGGGAGCUGCAUUUGAUACGUGUAGACUAGAGUGUGAGAGAGGGUUGUGGAAUUCCCAGUGUAGAGGUGAAAUUCGUAGAUAUUGGGAAGAACACCGGUGGCGAAGGCGGCAACCUGGCUCAUGACUGACGCUGAGGCGCGAAAGCGUGGGGAGCAAACAGGAUUAGAUACCCUGGUAGUCCACGCCUGUAAACGAUGUGUGCUAGUGUUGGGUAACU
This 460-nucleotide ribosomal RNA is filed under the name uncultured bacterium. RNAcentral describes it as "partial 16S ribosomal RNA". It matches the Rfam family "Bacterial small subunit ribosomal RNA", at positions 355 to 831 of the family's 1533-position model. The record is from RNAcentral.